This 89-nucleotide microRNA precursor is filed under the name Canis lupus familiaris (dog). Its description in RNAcentral is "mir-8799 microRNA precursor family". It matches the Rfam family "mir-8799 microRNA precursor family". Lineage: Eukaryota; Metazoa; Chordata; Mammalia; Carnivora; Canidae. The record is from Rfam by way of RNAcentral.
UGGGGGAGGCCGUAUCCUGGGAUGUUUCCCUGGCGCCCUGUGCUCCCGGGCCUGCGCUGUUGGAUUUGCGCUCCACCGCAUAGCCACCU